RNAcentral lists this ribosomal RNA (460 nucleotides) under uncultured bacterium. RNAcentral's name for it is "partial 16S ribosomal RNA". It matches the Rfam family "Bacterial small subunit ribosomal RNA", at positions 338 to 795 of the family's 1533-position model. The record is from RNAcentral.
CCUACGGGAGGCAGCAGUGAGGAAUAUUGGUCAAUGGACGAGAGUCUGAACCAGCCAAGUAGCGUGAAGGAUGACUGCCCUAUGGGUUGUAAACUUCUUUUAUAUGGGAAUAAAACGUUCCACGUGUGGGAUUUUGUAUGUACCAUAUGAAUAAGGAUUGGCUAACUCCGUGCCAGCAGCCGCGGUAAUACGGAGGAUCCGAGCGUUAUCCGGAUUUAUUGGGUUUAAAGGGAGCGUAGGUGGAUUGUUAAGUCAGUUGUGAAAGUUUGCGGCUCAACCGUAAAAUUGCAGUUGAAACUGGCAGUCUUGAGUACAGUAGAGGUGGGCGGAAUUCGUGGUGUAGCGGUGAAAUGCUUAGAUAUCACGAAGAACUCCGAUUGCGAAGGCAGUUCACUGGACUGCAACUGACACUGAGGCUCGAAAGUGUGGGUAUCAAACAGGAUUAGAUACCCCUGUAGUC